UACAGAGGGUGCAAGCGUUAAUCGGAAUUACUGGGCGUAAAGCGCACGAAGGCGGUUUUUUAAGUCAGAUGUGAAAGCCCCGGGCUCAACCUGGGAAUUGCAUUUGAAACUGGGAAACUAGAGUGUGUGAGAGGGGGGUAGAAUUCCAAGUGUAGCGGUGAAAUGCGUAGAGAUUUGGAGGAAUACCAGUGGCGAAGGCGGCCCCCUGGCACAACACUGACGCUCAGGUGCGAAAGCGUGGGGAGCAAACAGG
RNAcentral lists this ribosomal RNA (253 nucleotides) under uncultured bacterium. Its description in RNAcentral is "partial 16S ribosomal RNA". It matches the Rfam family "Bacterial small subunit ribosomal RNA", at positions 524 to 776 of the family's 1533-position model. The record is from RNAcentral.